RNAcentral lists this long non-coding RNA (1424 nucleotides) under Homo sapiens (human). RNAcentral describes it as "non-protein coding lnc-PTGS2-11:1". The record is from RNAcentral. Lineage: Eukaryota; Metazoa; Chordata; Mammalia; Primates; Hominidae.
AGAGGCACCGUGUCUGCCUAUUAAGAGUGUCUCACCUGCUGAACGCUGUGACACUGAACUUGGCACCCAGCCUGCUGGACAGAGACCGGGCCCUAACUGCAGUGGCUCAAUACUGGAAAGCUAAUUUGUAUGAAAUCCUGAAACUACAAGUCUUUACAAAUAUAAUCUAUUAUAUAUAAAAUAUAUUUUUCCCAAACAUAGCCCAUUAAAAGCCUUGUCUGCAGAUCAUCCGCCUGCCCCAGCCCCGGAGUGGCUCCUGUUGGGGUUCACUCUGGAUGGAUGACGCUGGCCACACCCACCACAGGUCCAGUGGAGUUCGACUUCACCUCAUCUGCUGCUUGGAAUCGUCUGUUAUCUCCUAAGGAGUCCUAAUGAUUCCCCACAGAACUCUCCCAUACUUUUUUACUUCCUCUAAUUCAAAUCAGCUCCCUCUCAUUGCCAAAACCCGACCCAUCCACUGUCCAUCCACUGCCCUCUGUCUCAAAACUGUAGAUCAGCACUUUCAGAUGGACAAACACUUUGUUUUAGUCUGAGGGGAAUAGUGAUCAGCUCAAACGAAGUCCUUUCCUGACUCCAUCACACAGUUGUUUUUCUCUCCAUUCUCCCAGAGUAUGCUUUAGACCUCUUUUUCUUUCUUUCCUUUUUUUUUCUUUAACCUGACACAGGUAUUGUCAUUGCCUCUUAUAAAAUUUAAAAGUCCUGGGUUCCAAUUCUGUCUUUUCUACUACCCAUGCAAUCUUGUUAAAGUCACCCAAUCUUUCUGAUACUCAGUUUUCUCAUCUGCAAUGUAUUAAUAAUAAUCACAAUAAAAUAUAGCAAUAGUCAUAAGAUCUAGCACAUAGAGAGCUUACUCUGUGCCAGGCACUCUCUUAAGAGUAUGUAUGUAUACGAAUAUUUCAAUAAUGUAGAAGAAUGAUUAAAUAAUUUUUAGCAUAACCAUACCACAGAAUACUAAGUGGCCAUUAAAAAGAAUGAGAUGUGGGCCAGGCACGGUGGCUCACACCUGUAAUCCCAGCACUUUGGGAGGCCGAGGCGGGUGGAUCAUGAGGUCAGGAGACUGAGACCAUCCUGACUAACACGGUGAAACCCUGUCUCUACUAAAAAUACAAAAAAAUUAGCCGGGUGUGGUGGCAGGUGCCUGUAGUCCUAGCUACUCGGGAGGCUGAGGCAGGAGAAUGGCGUGAACCCAGGAGGGAGAGCUUGCAGUGAGCCGAGAUCGCGGCACUGCACUCCAGCCUGGGCGACAGAGCAAGACUCCAUCUCAAAAAAAAAAAAUGAGAUAUAAAAACAUGCAAAUGUAUUGAUGCUAAAAUAAUAAGUAGAAAAUCAAGUUGCAGAACAAUAUAACAUGAUCACUUACAUUAAAACUACAUUAGACAUAUAAAUAACAUUUCUCUCUGCUUAUAUCUAUAGAUCUAUCAAUA